This 492-nucleotide ribosomal RNA is filed under the name uncultured bacterium. Its description in RNAcentral is "partial 16S ribosomal RNA". It matches the Rfam family "Bacterial small subunit ribosomal RNA", at positions 29 to 507 of the family's 1533-position model. The record is from RNAcentral.
AGUGAACGCUGGCGGUAGGCCUAACACAUGCAAGUCGAACGGCAGCACAGUAAGAGCUUGCUCUUACGGGUGGCGAGUGGCGGACGGGUGAGGAAUACAUCGGACUCUACUUUUUCGUGGGGGAUCACGUAGGGAAACUUACGCUAAUACCGCAUACGACCUACGGUUGAAAGCAGGGGAUCUUCGGACCUUGCGCGAUUGAAUGAGCCGAUGUCGGAUUAGCUAGUUGGCGGGGUAAAGGCCCACCAAGGCGGCGAUCCGUAGCUGGUCUGAGAGGAUGAUCGGCCACACUGGAACUGAGACACGGACCAGACGCCUACGGGAGGGACCAGUGGGGAAUAUUGGACAAUGGGCGCAAGCCUGAUCCAGCCAUACCGCGUGGGUGAAGAAGGCCUUCGGGGUGUAAAGCCCUUUUGUUGGGAAAGAAAAGCAGCAGGUUAAUACCCCGCUGUUCUGACGGUACCCAAAGAAUAAGCACCGGCUAACUUCGUG